Molecule: ribosomal RNA, 1676 nt
Filed under: Bathyraja taranetzi (mud skate)
Lineage: Eukaryota; Metazoa; Chordata; Chondrichthyes; Rajiformes; Arhynchobatidae
Description: 16S ribosomal RNA
Rfam family: Bacterial large subunit ribosomal RNA
Source: RNAcentral
ACCUUAAAACUAGCCUAACUACCAUUAAUUAAUUACAAUAUUAUUAAUAAAUUAUAUUAAUAUUUUAUACUUAAAACAUUUUUAUAAUCUCAGUAUAGGUGAUAGAACAGAUAUAUUUAGCGCUAUAGAGAUAGUACCGCAAGGGAAAGCUGAAAGAGAAAUGAAAUAAAUCAUUAAAGUAAUAAAAAGCAAAGAUUUAACCCUGUACCUUUUGCAUCAUGAUUUAGUGAGAAUAAAUGGGCAAAAAGACCUUAAGUCCAUCUCCCCGAAACUAGACGAGCUACUUCGGAGCAGCAUACUAGAGCUAACCCGUCUCUGUGGCAAAAGAGUGGGGCGACUCCCAAGUAGAGGUAAAAAGCCUACCGAGCCUAGUGAUAGCUGGUUACCCAAGAAAAGAACUUAAAUUCUGCAAUAAUUAUUCAAUAUAUCAAAUUAGAUUUCUUAAUAAGAAAACUUGUAAAAAUUAUUAGUUAUUCAAAAAAGGUACAACUCUUUUGAAUUAAGAAACAACUUUAUUAGGUGGGUAAUGAUCAUAUUAUGUAAGGACCUAGCCCCAGUAGGCUUAAAAGCAGCCAUCUGAUAAGCAAGCGUCAUAGCUCCAGCCUUAAUCUUCCUAUAAUUUAGAUAUAACCUCACAACCCCCUAACCAAUAUUGGGUUUUUUUAUUUAAACAAUAAAAGAACAUAUACUAAAAUGAGUAAUUAGAGGAUUAACCUCUCCAAAACACCAGUGUAAGUCAGAAAGAAUUAAAUCACUGAUUAUUAACCGAUACCAUCCUGAGGUAAUAAUAUUAAUAAUAAAAGACUAGAAAAACACAUUUACCUUAUCGUUAACCCUACACAGGAGUGUUUUAAGGAAAGAUUUAAAGAAAAUAAAGGAACUCGGCAAACAUAGACUCCGCCUGUUUACCAAAAACAUCGCCUCUUGCAAACACUGUAUAAGAGGUCCCGCCUGCCCUGUGACAUUGUUUUAACGGCCGCGGUAUUUUGACCGUGCGAAGGUAGCGUAAUCACUUGUCUUUUAAUUAAAGACCUGUAUGAAAGGCAUCACGAGAGUCUAACUGUCUCUAUUUUCUAAUCAAUGAAAUUGAUCUUCCCGUGCAGAAGCGGGAAUAAAACCAUAAGACGAGAAGACCCUAUGGAGCUUCAAACACUUAAGCUAUUAUUUUAUAUAAUUUUAAUCUAAGGACUUAACUUUACUAAUAAUGAUGUAUCUUAAUGUUUUCGGUUGGGGCGACCGAGGAGUAAAAAAGAACCUCCUCAUCGAUUGAGUAUAUACUUAAAAAUUUGAACGACAGUUUUGAUUUAUAGAAUAUCUAACGAAUAAUGAUCCAGGAUUUAAUAUUUCUGAUCAAUGAACCAAGUUACCCUAGGGAUAACAGCGCAAUCCUUUCUAAGAGCCCAUAUCGCCGAAAGGGUUUACGACCUCGAUGUUGGAUCAGGACAUCCUAAUGGUGCAACCGCUAUUAAGGGUUCGUUUGUUCAACGAUUAAUAGUCCUACGUGAUCUGAGUUCAGACCGGAGUAAUCCAGGUCAGUUUCUAUCUAUGUAGAUAUUUUUCCUAGUACGAAAGGACCGGGAAAAUGAAGCCUAUGCUACAGGUACGCUUCUCCCUCAUCUGUUGAAAUAAACUAAAACAGGUAAGAGGGGUCAAUAAUCUACUAAAGAUUAUAGUUA